GAUAUAAGUAAAGCUCCGAUGCUUCCUAGCUGCAGUACUGGGUUGCCUCCUGCACCGACCCUUGCACUAAUAUUGAAAAAACUUUCUUCUAUUUGCACAUUUUUUUUUUUUUCAUAUUUAUAUCAUAAAACUCAAACGCGAACUACGAUGAUUCAUGUGAUAAUUAAAUCACGUUACAACUAUAACGUUCACAUACCAAUAUUGCAGUUAACGCGGAUACCUGAAUCAUUGGAUGUAAAUGCAACGAAAAAUGCAAAAGCUCUGAUAAAAAUUACGAAAAACACCUGCGCCCGUCAAACAAAGUGCCGUGAAUUUUUAAGCGAAGAGAAAAAAAAAAAUGAAAAGAUGAUCCAGCAGCUUCGAAAAUUUUUAGACAAGCUUACCCAUGCGUAUAUAUCACCUCGCAUUAUAAGGGGUCAUCGAGAGUGAGCUGAAUUAAUGCAAAAAGUGAUCUUGCUUUUUUUUUUUAUUUUUUUUCUCUCAUCUACAUAUCAUAAAACGAUACAUGGAAUAUCAUGUUUGAAAUACAUCGCAGUUGUUAGCUUGUGUUUGUGUAGCUCACAUGUAAAAGGAGUCCCUCACUAUUUUAACGGGCGGUAGAAGAAGAGAAUGCGAGGCUUUGUGACGGCUGCACUCGAAUGGAGGCAAGCUUUUCGCCGAUUGGUUCUCCGCCCGGGAGGGUCCAGAGGAUGGAGGAUGGAGGAUGGACGAGGGAGAUUAUUGGGAAUGGAGAAUGGAGAAUGGCGGAACGAAUCGAAGGAGUGGGGAAAUUCAACUCAUGUGUACAGUACUAUGAUGUAUAAAUCGCAACCCUUAGGAAUUUUGCGAAACGCUGCAGGCGAAAUUAUCAUCUACAUACAUUCAUACUUCGAUAUACACGAACCUUUGCUCGCGCAUAUUUGUCGAUUCCGAAUCGCAUCUCCUGAAUCAAUUAAAUAAUAUAAUUUCCAACUGCUUCCGGACCACCAACGCAGUGCCUUUCGGAUCGAGGCGGUUUGUAAAUUUCGCACGUGAAUAAUUUCAUCUCGUAGAUCAUUUCAAGCAUCGUAAUCUUUUUUUUUUUGUCUAUUUAUUUUUUCCUCUCAGGCCGCUAUAAUUUCGAUUAUAAUUGUGCGACAAAUAAGAUGCGCGAUAACUGGAAAUUAUCAUAUAAAAUUCUGAUUCCUUUUCAGUUUUCCCUGGGUCGAUUGAGCCAAUGAUACAUCGAUAUGAUGCGGAUGCUGCAUGUAUGGAAUUUUCAGGAGCAGUUCGUUCGCUGAUUAUCGGCGAGGUGGAUGCAGAACUGAAUUAACACGAGAUCGACGUAAUAGCAAACGGUGCGUAAUGCCCGUCUCGUGCGAUCACGCGUUGUAUUUCACAUACAUUUUCUCGAUGUUCUUAGUACCAGCCAUCGUGCAUUGUAUACUUUAUAAUACAGAACGCGGCACGCUGCAGAGAUACCGCGUAUACUCCAACUGACAUAGCUGCUUAUACGUCCAAUUCAGCCAGUUAACGUCAAUUGAACUAAAUUGUUUCAAUUGGACGUAAUUGCGGCAAGGCGACGGGGUAUCUCCGUUGUUACCACGUACACAAAUAUACUAUACAGUAUACAUACAUGUUUACGAAAGAAACACGCAUUAUGUAUAGUAUAUCCAUAUACAUACACACUCUACUUUUCUCCAUACCAUAGCGAUGCUCCAGCUCUUCCCAGGCUCAAUUCAUAAACUCUUCUGUAUUUUUAACCGAUAUAUUCAACGCACCACAGCUUCCUUUCCCUCUGGCUGCAUCGGUGUGCAUUUUGUGGGUUUUUUUUUUUUCUUAUUGGUUUUUUUUUUUUUUUAUAUCUGCCGUACAUAUGACCACUUGCAGCAACAGGCAGUGCAUGGUUGUGGAGAAAAAACGAAAAAAAAAACUCUGCCUUCGGAUAAUGACAGGAAUUUUCUGUAGAUUAGUUCAGUUUUAGCGUUAACAUCUUUCCCGCGCAUCUCUUUCUUCCAUUGGAUAUAUGUAUCAAAAAAAAUCCACCUGCUAUUAAUUGUCUUCGCUAUAGUUACGCCUGAUAAUAUUAUAGGCAUAUAUCCGUCAUCGUACAGUUGGAUUAACGCGAUGCCGAGUGACAAAUUAUAACGAGACGCGGUGUGACGUGCGUUUUUGCACAUCCUCAUUAUAAGCUAUGAUGUCUGUAUAGAUAUAUUUGGUAUAUUAUUUCUAUACUCGCAGGCGUAUAAUUUCGUAUUUAACGUCGAGGGAAAUAAAAUUUCAACAUUGGAUUAUUUUUACUUCAUUUUCGAGUUAUCAUAUUUCUUUUUGACUGACGAGGGUAGAUAUAGUCGACCCACAUAUUUCGUGAGAACAAAAUUAUUACUAUACAAAUUUCUCAUGAAGUAACAGACGAUGGAGGGUGGGUCGAUCAAACUGGACUCUGUGGGGCUCGAAAAAUGUUUCAUCCCGCAUAAGAUUUUGCUGCGGGUGGCGAGAAAAAGAAGUUUAUAUUUUAUUUGUGUGAUUUCAUUAACACCACGAGACGAUGGCUUAAAUACUAGAUUGCGUUUGUGGAAUAUAAAAACGGCUGGAGAUAAAACAAUGUAGUGACUAUGACAAAUGUAUUGGACAAUCUGAAGAUCUAAGGAAGAU
Athalia rosae (coleseed sawfly) is the source of this 2613-nucleotide long non-coding RNA. RefSeq lists it as uncharacterized. Lineage: Eukaryota; Metazoa; Arthropoda; Insecta; Hymenoptera; Athaliidae. The record is from RefSeq and is a predicted model, not a curated record. The transcript has 3 exons.